CGCGACAACAGACGCGGACAGAGCAGAGAGGAGCCCCCGACGGCAGGUACACCCUGGGCGGAGAGGGCCGCCUGACAGUAUCCUUGGCAUUGGCAUUGGCGUUAGACGAGCUCAGCCAGGAGAAUCACAAGAUACCAGGACGGACAGAUUGCUCGCAAAUGGACUCUGUGUACUAGUGGGAUUGGUCCAUGUGGAGUCAGCUCAAGUGUGUCAUGAUUGCUUAUUUCCUGUAUUUUAUUUUAAUUGUUUUUUAAAUAAAUUAGGCGAUAUCGGCUAAACUGUAUUCGA
Molecule: long non-coding RNA, 288 nt
Organism: Micropterus dolomieu (smallmouth bass)
Lineage: Eukaryota; Metazoa; Chordata; Actinopteri; Centrarchiformes; Centrarchidae
Exons: 2
Source: RefSeq, a predicted model, not a curated record